GAUGAAGAACGUAGCGAAAUGCGAUAAGUAAUGUGAAUUGCAGAAUUCAGUGAAUCAUCGAAUCUUUGAACGCACCUUGCGCCUUUUGGUAUUCCGAAAGGCACACCUGUUUGAGCGUCAUGAAUACCUCAAUCUCCAUCUUUUCUUCGGAUUGAUGGGUGACUUGGAUGUUGAGCCCUGCUGGUAUGCUAUAUCAGCUGGCUUUAAACUUAUUAGCCGGCUCUGUACUGGAUCGGUUUGACUCGACGUGAUAAUAUUAUCGUUGAGGAUGCAUGUCUCAUGCAGCCGGAAAGUAUAAAGCAGCUUCUAGCUUGCCUUUAGUGCACUUUUACAUUUUAGACCUCAGAUCAGGUGGGACUACCCGCUGAACUUAAGCAUAUCAAUAAGCGGAGGA
This 394-nucleotide unclassified non-coding RNA is filed under the name soil metagenome. RNAcentral describes it as "partial contains 5.8S ribosomal RNA, internal transcribed spacer 2, and large subunit ribosomal RNA". The stretch from base 1 to 120 matches the Rfam family "5.8S ribosomal RNA", at positions 35 to 154 of the family's 154-position model. The record is from RNAcentral.